UAUAUUUCGGUGUAAAUGCACAUAAAGAUUUGACCUUUAAGGGGAUGGUGAAAAUCCAUCAAAUAUAA
RNAcentral lists this transfer RNA (68 nucleotides) under Rhynchocinetes durbanensis. RNAcentral describes it as "tRNA-Gln". The record is from RNAcentral. Lineage: Eukaryota; Metazoa; Arthropoda; Malacostraca; Decapoda; Rhynchocinetidae.